Long non-coding RNA from Gasterosteus aculeatus aculeatus (three-spined stickleback), 2692 nucleotides. The record is from Ensembl. Lineage: Eukaryota; Metazoa; Chordata; Actinopteri; Perciformes; Gasterosteidae.
AUUUGAUGCACAAGUUGUAACUCUGCACAAUUAGCACCCACCUCAUGAGCCGGCGGUUCUGAUUGUACAUCCUGUGGAGAAAAAUUAGCGGAUUGUGGUCAGUAAACACCACCACAGGGACAACACUAGAUCCGACGUACACUUCGAAAAAUUGAAGGGCUAAUAACAAAGCCAAUGUCUCCUGCUCGAUGGUGGAGUACCUUGUCUGACAGUCACUGAAUUUUUUUGAAAAGAAACAAAUGGGUCUAUCGAUCCCUUCACCGUCCUCCUGUAAGAGGACGGCGCCUGCGCCCACGGCGCUAGCGUCAACCUCCAUUUUAAAAGGUUUGCCAAAAUCAGGGGCUGCAAGCACCGGGGCAGUACACAGGAGUAGCUUCGCGGAAUUGAACGAAUGCUCACAUUCCGGAGACCACUUAAACGGAACCUUGGGUGACAAAAGUGAAGACAGGGGGGCUACCACCGUCGAAAAGUUUUUGCAAAACGUACGGUAAUAACCCACCAUACCUAGGAAACGGCGAAGCUCACGGCGCGUAACAGGGGCAGGGAAACUAGCUAUGGCUUCCACCUUGCUAGCUAACAACCGAACCUGCCCAUGUCCCACCUGUUUUCCAAGGUAUGUAACUGUAGCUUUUCCGAACUCGCACUUUGCCAGGUUUAACGUCAAGGAUGCUUUUUCUAAACGUUCAAACACCAUGUCUAGCGUAGCGAUAUGGUCGGCCCAAGUUGACGAAUAUAUUACGACGUCGUCGAUAUAUGCGGUACAGUUAGGAACAUCGGCAAACACAGUAUUUACUAGGCGUUGGAACGUAGCGGGGGCAUUGCACAUGCCAAAAGGCAUUACGGUAUAUUGCACGAAAUUGUCAGGGGUCACAAACGCAGAAAUCUCCGAGGCACGAGGGGUUAGAGGCACUUGCCAAUACCCUUUCAACAGGUCUAACUUCGUGACAAACACCGCGGAGCCGAUGCUGUCGAUGCAAUCUUCUAUUCAAGGUAACGGAUAAGAGUCUGGUGCAGUAACACCAUUAACUCGCCGAUAGUCUGUGCACAACCGGGAUGUGCCGUCUGGUUUUGGGACUAGGAUACAAGGUGAACUCCAAGCACUGUUACUGGCUUUGGCCAUGUUGUUUUUUAACAAGUACUCAAUCUCACCUUUCAUCUUCUCCCUCUUAAACGCAUUUACCCGGUACGGGUGUUGACGGAUGGGGGUCGCGUUUCCUACAUCAACAUCGUGUGUCAAAACCGUGGUACAUCCAGGUACGUCAUGAAACAAGGUGAGGUAGGAGUUAAUCAAGGACACAAGCUCUUGAGACUGCUCACAUUCCAAAUGUUUCAAAAGGGAUGGCAACUUUCCCAACAUUUCUGUAUUACCCAUACAUUCACCCGGUUUCACUGCAUGUCUUAACUCCAGACCGUCCUCCGGGUCAUCCUCCAGGUACGCCCCCGCCUGCAGCGCAACAGUGGCCACUGAAGAGACAGCGGGCUGGAUGGGCUUAGUGGAGAGAGUGUUAGAAGGACCUCGUGUACGCAAACAACACAAAUGGCACUCCCUCAUCCCAGUUUGGAUUAUCCAUACAGUAUUUUCGGAGCAUCGAUUUGAGGGUCUGGUGCCACCGCUCGAGUGCUCCCUGGCUUUCCGGAUGAUACGCACUCGAGACCUGGUGAGUAAUACCCAAUUCUUUUAGAGAGGUUACAAACAGUUUUGACAUAAAAUUUGAACCUUGAUCUGACUGAAGUACUUUCGGUAAGCCAAAUGUAGAGAAAAACUUGAUCAGGGCCUUAACUACAGUCUUGGCUGUGAUGGUACGGAGGGGAAUAGCCUCCGGAUACCGAGUAGCACUACACAUCACUGUUAAAAGGUAUUGGUUACCACUCCGCGUUCUUGGUAAAGGACCCACACAAUCCACGAUUACCCGUUCGAACGGUUCUCCCAGCACAGGAAUCGGGUGCAGAGGCGCCCGAGGGAUGACCUGGUUCGCUUUUCCUGUUAGUUGGCAUUCAUGACAGGUAUUACAAAAUUCCACAACAUCUGACUUUAGACCUGGCCAGAAAAAGUGGCGAAGGACUCUGUCAUAAGUCUUUGUUAUUCCUAGGUGCCCAGCCCAAGCAGGGUCAUGUGCUAGGGAUAACACUUGCUGUCUGAAUGGUUUAGGGACGACCACCUGCUUGACAACCCCUAAACCCCGAACGUUACCCUGCGCUGCCCACCUGCGCAUAAGAACGCCAGCCUCCAUGAAUUUUCAUUGAAGUGGAAAUACUGGACUGGGCUGGCUCCACGUUCACACGCUCAAGAAUCGAGUCUGACAGGUCCACCUCGUCUCCCAACCUACGGGACUGGGCCCGUGUAAGCACACAAGCUGGGAACACAUGAGGGUAAGCCUGUACUAAAAUGUCGUCCGUAGGUUCCAGGGUAGGUGUGUCCACCACCUCUAACAUGGGUGUUACAUGGCCACCGGCAAUGUCAUUCCCAAGCAGAAAUGUGACUCCCUCCACCGGCAGAGUUGGUACCACGCCAACACGAAAACGUCCCGACACUAGUUUGGACUUUAACCAGACCCAAUGCAGUGGUACAGACAUGGGGGUUGCUCCGAGUCCUUGUAGAAGGACGUUUGACCCACAGUAUGACCCAUGGGACCAGGGCAGGCUGUCUGCUAGUACUAAAGACUGCGCUGCCCCCGUGUCACGCAGUAUGGUG